GACGAACGCUGGCGGCGUGCUUAACACAUGCAAGUCGAACGGAAAGGCCCUGCUUUUGUGGGGUGCUCGAGUGGCGAACGGGUGAGUAACACGUGAGUAACCUGCCCUUGACUUUGGGAUAACUUCAGGAAACUGGGGCUAAUACCGGAUAGGAGCUCCUGCUGCAUGGUGGGGGUUGGAAAGUUUCGGCGGUUGGGGAUGGACUCGCGGCUUAUCAGCUUGUUGGUGGGGUAGUGGCUUACCAAGGCUUUGACGGGUAGCCGGCCUGAGAGGGUGACCGGCCACAUUGGGACUGAGAUUCGGCCCAGACUCCUACGGGAGGCAGCAGUGGGGAAUAGUGCACAAUGGGCGGAAGCCUGAUGCAGCAACGCCGCGUGCGGGAUGACGGCCUUCGGGUUGUAAACCGCUUUCGCCUGUGACGAAGCGUGAGUGACGGUAAUGGGUAAAGAAGCACCGGCUAACUACGUG
RNAcentral lists this ribosomal RNA (468 nucleotides) under uncultured bacterium. Its description in RNAcentral is "partial 16S ribosomal RNA". It matches the Rfam family "Bacterial small subunit ribosomal RNA", at positions 28 to 507 of the family's 1533-position model. The record is from RNAcentral.